RNAcentral lists this ribosomal RNA (497 nucleotides) under uncultured bacterium. RNAcentral describes it as "partial 16S ribosomal RNA". It matches the Rfam family "Bacterial small subunit ribosomal RNA", at positions 28 to 507 of the family's 1533-position model. The record is from RNAcentral.
GAUGAACGCUGGCGGCGUGCCUAAUACAUGCAAGUCGAGCGAACAGACGAGGAGCUUGCUCCUUCGACGUUAGCGGCGGACGGGUGAGUAACACGUAGGUAACCUACCUAUAAGACUGGGAUAACUUCGGGAAACCGGAGCUAAUACCGGAUAAUAUUUCGAACCGCAUGGUUCGAUAGUGAAAGAUGGCUUUGCUAUCACUUAUCGAUGGACCUGCGCCGUAUUAGCUAGUUGGUAGGGUAACGGCUUACCAAGGCAACGAUACGUAGCCGACCUGAGAGAGUGAUCGGCCACACUGGAACUGAGACACGGUCCAGACUCCUAAGGGAGGCAGCAGUAGGGAAUCUUACGCAAUGGGCGAGAGCAUGACGGAGCAACGCCGCGUGAGUGAUGAAGGUCUUCGGAUCGUAAAACUCUGUUAUUAGGGAAGAACAAACGUGUAAGUAACUGUGCACGUAUUGACGGUACCUAAUCAGAAAGCCACGGCUAACUACGUG